RNAcentral lists this ribosomal RNA (447 nucleotides) under uncultured bacterium. Its description in RNAcentral is "bacterial SSU rRNA". It matches the Rfam family "Bacterial small subunit ribosomal RNA", at positions 355 to 825 of the family's 1533-position model. The record is from RNAcentral.
UCGGGAAUUUUGGGCAAUGGGCGAAAGCCUGACCCAGCAACGCCGCGUGAAGGAUGAAGUAUUUCGGUAUGUAAACUUCGAAAGAAUAGGAAGAAUAAAUGACGGUACUAUUUAUAAGGUCCGGCUAACUACGUGCCAGCAGCCGCGGUAAUACGUAGGGACCAAGCGUUGUUCGGAUUUACUGGGCGUAAAGGGCGCGUAGGCGGCUUGACAAGUCACUUGUGAAAUCUCUGGGCUUAACCCAGAACGGCCAAGUGAAACUGUCAUGCUAGAGUGCAGAAGGGGCAAUCGGAAUUCUUGGUGUAGCGGUGAAAUGCGUAGAUAUCAAGAGGAACACCUGAGGUGAAGACGGGUUGCUGGGCUGACACUGACGCUGAGGCGCGAAAGCCAGGGGAGCAAACGGGAUUAGAUACCCUCGUAGUCCCUGAGCGGGCUGGCAAGGCGCAU